GAACUGUGCCAGUGCAAAGUGAAGUCAGAGGAAACUCUGGUGGAGUCCUGCAGCGAUAGUGACGUGCAAAUUGUUUGUCUGACUUCGGUUUUGAGGCAAAAGAUUAAUCUA
This 111-nucleotide ribosomal RNA is filed under the name Olea europaea subsp. europaea. RNAcentral describes it as "LSU_rRNA_archaea". It matches the Rfam family "Eukaryotic large subunit ribosomal RNA", at positions 828 to 938 of the family's 3401-position model. Lineage: Eukaryota; Viridiplantae; Streptophyta; Magnoliopsida; Lamiales; Oleaceae. The record is from RNAcentral.